GCUGGAAUUGCUAGUAAUGGCAGGUCAGCAUACUGCCGUGAAUACGUUCCCGGGCCUUGUACACACCGCCCGUCACACCAUGAGAGUUGGAAAUACCCGAAGCCUGUGAGCUAACUUAAAGAGGCAGCAGUCGAAGGUAGAGCCAAUGAUCGGGGUGAAGUCGUAACAAGGUACC
RNAcentral lists this ribosomal RNA (175 nucleotides) under uncultured bacterium. RNAcentral describes it as "partial 16S ribosomal RNA". It matches the Rfam family "Bacterial small subunit ribosomal RNA", at positions 1325 to 1500 of the family's 1533-position model. The record is from RNAcentral.